RNAcentral lists this ribosomal RNA (1482 nucleotides) under uncultured bacterium. RNAcentral's name for it is "16S ribosomal RNA". It matches the Rfam family "Bacterial small subunit ribosomal RNA". The record is from RNAcentral.
GAUUCUGGCUCAGGAUGAACGCUAGCUACAGGCUUAACACAUGCAAGUCGAGGGGCAGCAUGGUCUUAGCUUGCUAAGGCCGAUGGCGACCGGCGCACGGGUGAGUAACACGUAUCCAACCUGCCGUCUACUCUUGGACAGCCUUCUGAAAGGAAGAUUAAUACAAGAUGGCAUCAUGAGUCCGCAUGUUCACAUGAUUAAAGGUAUUCCGGUAGACGAUGGGGAUGCGUUCCAUUAGAUAGUAGGCGGGGUAACGGCCCACCUAGUCUUCGAUGGAUAGGGGUUCUGAGAGGAAGGUCCCCCACAUUGGAACUGAGACACGGUCCAAACUCCUACGGGAGGCAGCAGUGAGGAAUAUUGGUCAAUGGGCGAGAGCCUGAACCAGCCAAGUAGCGUGAAGGAUGACUGCCCUAUGGGUUGUAAACUUCUUUUAUAAAGGAAUAAAGUCGGGUAUGGAUACCCGUUUGCAUGUACUUUAUGAAUAAGGAUCGGCUAACUCCGUGCCAGCAGCCGCGGUAAUACGGAGGAUCCGAGCGUUAUCCGGAUUUAUUGGGUUUAAAGGGAGCGUAGAUGGAUGUUUAAGUCAGUUGUGAAAGUUUGCGGCUCAACCGUAAAAUUGCAGUUGAUACUGGAUAUCUUGAGUGCAGUUGAGGCAGGCGGAAUUCGUGGUGUAGCGGUGAAAUGCUUAGAUAUCACGAAGAACUCCGAUUGCGAAGGCAGCCUGCUAAGCUGCAACUGACAUUGAGGCUCGAAAGUGUGGGUAUCAAACAGGAUUAGAUACCCUGGUAGUCCACACGGUAAACGAUGAAUACUCGCUGUUUGCGAUAUACUGCAAGCGGCCAAGCGAAAGCGUUAAGUAUUCCACCUGGGGAGUACGCCGGCAACGGUGAAACUCAAAGGAAUUGACGGGGGCCCGCACAAGCGGAGGAACAUGUGGUUUAAUUCGAUGAUACGCGAGGAACCUUACCCGGGCUUAAAUUGCAGAUGAAUUACGGUGAAAGCCGUAAGCCGCAAGGCAUCUGUGAAGGUGCUGCAUGGUUGUCGUCAGCUCGUGCCGUGAGGUGUCGGCUUAAGUGCCAUAACGAGCGCAACCCUUGUUGUCAGUUACUAACAGGUUCCGCUGAGGACUCUGACAAGACUGCCAUCGUAAGAUGUGAGGAAGGUGGGGAUGACGUCAAAUCAGCACGGCCCUUACGUCCGGGGCUACACACGUGUUACAAUGGGGGGUACAGAGGGCCGCUACCACGCGAGUGGAUGCCAAUCCCCAAAACCUCUCUCAGUUCGGACUGGAGUCUGCAACCCGACUCCACGAAGCUGGAUCCGCUAGUAAUCGCGCAUCAGCCACGGCGCGGUGAAUACGUUCCCGGGCCUUGUACACACCGCCCGUCAAGCCAUGGGAGCCGGGGGUACCUGAAGUGCGUAACCGCGAGGAGCGCCCUAGGGUAAAACUGGUGACUGGGGCUAAGUCGUAACAAGGUAUCC